RNAcentral lists this ribosomal RNA (91 nucleotides) under Bacillus cereus. RNAcentral's name for it is "partial 16S ribosomal RNA". It matches the Rfam family "Bacterial small subunit ribosomal RNA", at positions 1 to 88 of the family's 1533-position model. RNAcentral also lists the same sequence under 7 other names. The record is from RNAcentral. Lineage: Bacteria; Bacillati; Bacillota; Bacilli; Caryophanales; Bacillaceae.
UUAUUGGAGAGUUUGAUCCUGGCUCAGGAUGAACGCUGGCGGCGUGCCUAAUACAUGCAAGUCGAGCGAAUGGAUUAAGAGCUUGCUCUUA